GCAGACCCACGCCGACUCAGAGUCUCCACAGACGCCAAGGAUGGGAUCUUGGCGCCCCGAACCCUCUUCCUGCUGCUCUCGGGGGCGCUGGCCCUGACCGAGACCUGGGCAGUGUCCCGGCCCGGCCGCGGGGAGCCCCAGUUCAUCUACGUGGCCUACGUGGACGACACGCAGUUCGUGCGAUUCGACAGCGACGCGGCGAUUCCGAGGAUGGAGCCGCUGGCGCCGUGGGUGGAGCCGGAGUGUUGGGGGCGGGAGACACGGGGCGCCAAGACCCACGCAGAGAAUUUCCAAGUGAACCUGCGGACCCUGCUCCGCGGCUGCAACCCAAGCGAGGCCGGGCCUCACACAGUCCAGAAGAUGUACGGCUGCGACCUGGGGCCAGAUGGGCCCUUCCUCCGCGGGUCCGACCAGUUCGCCUACGAUGGCAAGGAUUACCUCGCCCUGAACGAGGACCUGCGCUCCUGGACCGCAGCGGACACCACGGCUCAGAUCUCCCUGCGCAAGUGGGAGGUGACCCGUGAGGCGGAGAGGGUGAGAGCCUACCUGGAGGACAGGUGCCUGGAGUGGCUCCGCAGAUACCUGGAGAACGGGAAGGAGACGCUGCAGCGCGCGGAACCCCCAAAGACACACGUGACCCACCACCCCGUCUCUGAUCAUGAGGCCAUCCUGAGGUGCUGGGCUCUGGGCUUCUACCCUGUGGAGAUUACACUGACCUGGCAGUGGGAUGGGGAGGACCAAACUCAGGACACGCAGCUUGUGGAGACCAGGCCGGCAGGGGAUGGAACCUUCCAGAAGUGGGCAGCUGUGGUGGUGCCUUCUGGAGAGGAGCAGAAAUACAUGUGCCAUGUGCAGCAUGAGGGGUUCCUGGAGCCCCUCACCCUGAGAUGGGAGCAGUCUUCCCAGCCCGUCAUCCUCAUCGUAGCCAUUGUUGCUGGCCUGAUUGUCCUUGGAGCUGUGGUCACUGGAGCUGUGGUCACUUCUGUGAUGUGGAGGAAGAAAAGCUCAGGUGGAAAAGGAGGGAGCUACUGUCAGGCUGCGUGUAAGUUGGAGACUGGGAUGUGGAGGAGCUCACCCACCCCAUAAUUCCUCCUGUCCCACGUCUCCUGUGGGCUCUGACCAGCUGCUGUUUUUGUUCUACCCCAAGGAGCAAUGGUGCCCAGGGCUCUGAUGUGUCUCUCAGGGAUUGUAAAGCCUGAGACAGCUGCUUUUUGUGGUACUAAGAUGAUGGGAUUUCCUCAUGCCUCCCCUUUGUGACUUCAGGAUCCUCUGGCAUCUCUUUCUGCAAAGGCAUCUGAAUGUGUCUGCGUCCCUGUUAGCACAAUGUGAGGAGGUGGAGAGACAGCCCACCCCCGUGUCCACCGUGACCCUCGUAUCCACGCUGACCUGCAUUCCUUCCCCAGUCAU
Chlorocebus sabaeus (green monkey) is the source of this 1407-nucleotide non-coding RNA. The record is from RefSeq and is a predicted model, not a curated record. Lineage: Eukaryota; Metazoa; Chordata; Mammalia; Primates; Cercopithecidae.